CCUACGGGAGGCUGCAGUGAGGAAUAUUGGUCAAUGGACGCAAGUCUGAACCAGCCAUGCCGCGUGAAGGAAGACGGCUCUAUGAGUUGUAAACUGCUUUUGUACGAGGGUAAACGCAGGUACGCGAAUCUGUCUGAAAGUAUCGUACGAAUCAGGAUCGGCUAACUCGGUGCCAGCAGCCGCGGUAAUACGGAGGAUGCAAGCGGUAUCCGGAUUUAUUGGGUUUUAAGGGUGCGUAGGCGGUCGGAUAAGUUAGAGGUGAAAUGCCGGGGCUCAACUCCGGAAUUGCCUUUGAUACUGUACGGCUGGAGAGGAGGUGCGGUAGGCGGAAUGUGUGGUGUAGCGGUGAAAUGCGUAGAGAU
This 362-nucleotide ribosomal RNA is filed under the name uncultured bacterium. Its description in RNAcentral is "partial 16S ribosomal RNA". It matches the Rfam family "Bacterial small subunit ribosomal RNA", at positions 338 to 697 of the family's 1533-position model. The record is from RNAcentral.